AGUUUAGAAAUUAUUGUUUUAGUCAUAAUAUUGACUUAUUUUAAGACCUAGAACACCUUCCUAAUCUGGAACAUCUUAUAGCAUUAUUUAGGGUAUAAAACUUAAUAAUUUUUUUUUUUUUUUGAGACAGAGUUUUGCUCUGUCUUGCCCAGGCAUGAAGUUGGCUCACUGCAGCCUCCGACUACAGGUUUCAAGUGAUUCUCCUGCCUCAGCCUCUUGAGUAGCUGCGUCUACAGGCAGGUGUCACCACACCCGGCUAAUUUUGUAUUUUUAAUAGAGACAGGGUUUUACCAUGUUGGCCAGACUGGUCUCAAACUCCUGACCUCAGGUGAUCCACCCACCUCUCAAACUCCUCACCUCAGGUGAUCCACCCACCUCGGCCUUCAAAAGUGCUGGGACUACAGAUUCCAGGGAAAGAUCAAUUACUCUGGACAGAAGGACCCCUUGCAUAAAGUGGCUGCUUCAACUGCUCUGACCACAGCACUUUCACUGACUACAACUCUAGACACAGUAACUAUUUGGGCACACCACAAUAAACUGACAGGCACCUUCCACUCCCUGUGAGUCUCUUCUUGCCCUUAGACAAAACAUAGCUGACAAUAUGUUAACAGUGUGUG
This 617-nucleotide long non-coding RNA is filed under the name Callithrix jacchus (white-tufted-ear marmoset). Its description in RNAcentral is "lncRNA (ENSCJAG00000074645.1)". The record is from RNAcentral. Lineage: Eukaryota; Metazoa; Chordata; Mammalia; Primates; Cebidae.